This 274-nucleotide ribosomal RNA is filed under the name uncultured bacterium. RNAcentral's name for it is "partial 16S ribosomal RNA". It matches the Rfam family "Bacterial small subunit ribosomal RNA", at positions 523 to 796 of the family's 1533-position model. The record is from RNAcentral.
AGACGGAGGGUGCAAGCGUUGUCCGGAAUUAUUGGGCGUAAAGCGUCCGUAGGUGGCAUGACAAGUCUGAUGUUAAAGCCUGGAGCUCAACUCCAGUUCAGCAUUGGAUACUGUCAAGCUAGAGUACAGGAGAGGCAAGGGGAAUUCCUAGUGUAGCGGUGAAAUGCGUAGAUAUUAGGAGGAACACCGGUGGCGUAAGCGCCUUGCUGGACUGAAACUGACGCUGAGGGACGAAAGCCAGGGGAGCAAAUGGGAUUAGAAACCCCAGUAGUCC